UCUAAUAUGGCAGAAAAAUGCAUUGGAUUUAAACCCCAUAAAUAAAGUUUUAAACUUUUUUUAGAA
Molecule: transfer RNA, 66 nt
Filed under: Neodiprion sertifer (European pine sawfly)
Lineage: Eukaryota; Metazoa; Arthropoda; Insecta; Hymenoptera; Diprionidae
Description: tRNA-Leu
Rfam family: tRNA
About the family: Transfer RNA (tRNA) molecules are approximately 80 nucleotides in length. Their secondary structure includes four short double-helical elements and three loops (D, anti-codon, and T loops). Further hydrogen bonds mediate the characteristic L-shaped molecular structure. tRNAs have two regions of fundamental functional importance: the anti-codon, which is responsible for specific mRNA codon recognition, and the 3' end, to which the tRNAs corresponding amino acid is attached (by aminoacyl-tRNA synthetases). tRNAs cope with the degeneracy of the genetic code in two manners: having more than one tRNA (with a specific anti-codon) for a particular amino acid; and 'wobble' base-pairing, i.e. permitting non-standard base-pairing at the 3rd anti-codon position.
Source: RNAcentral